This 401-nucleotide ribosomal RNA is filed under the name Palaemon pugio. Its description in RNAcentral is "partial 12S ribosomal RNA". The record is from RNAcentral. Lineage: Eukaryota; Metazoa; Arthropoda; Malacostraca; Decapoda; Palaemonidae.
UUGAAACCAGGAUUAGAUACCCUGUUAUAUUAAGAUAAAACAAGAUUUCGCUUGAGUAGUAAUCAGUUAUGAUCUCGAAACUUAAAGGAUUUGGCGGUAUUUAAGUCUAGUUAGAGGAACCUGCUCUUUAAACGAUAUGCCACGAAAUAUCUUACUUUGUCUUGUAUUCAGCUUGUAUACCUCCAUUAUAAGUAAUGUUUUUAAAUAUUUUCUAUAAUAAAAGUUUUUUAGUAUAUUAGGUCAAGGUGCAGCUAAUGAUAAAGUAGCUGUGGGUUACAUUGUAUUUCAUAUCUGAACGAAUUUGUGAAACUAAAUUCUGAAAUUGGAUUUAAUUGUAUUCUUGAAAUAAUAAGUCAAGAUGAUAAUAGCUCUAAAAUAUGUACAUAUCCGCCCGUCGCUAA